GACGUAGGGCGCAAGCGUUGUCCGGAUUUAUUGGGCGUAAAGAGCUCGUAGGCGGCCUGUCGCGUCGACUGUGAAAAACCACGACUCAACCGUGGGACUGCAGUCGAUACGGGCAGGCUAGAGUUCGGUAGGGGAGACUGGAAUUCCUGGUGUAGCGGUGAAAUGCGCAGAUAUCAGGAGGAACACCGGUGGCGAAGGCGGGUCUCUGGGCCGAUACUGACGCUGAGGAGCGAAAGCGUGGGGAGCGAACAGG
This 253-nucleotide ribosomal RNA is filed under the name uncultured bacterium. RNAcentral's name for it is "partial 16S ribosomal RNA". It matches the Rfam family "Bacterial small subunit ribosomal RNA", at positions 524 to 776 of the family's 1533-position model. The record is from RNAcentral. RNAcentral also lists the same sequence under 1 other name.